Molecule: long non-coding RNA, 2898 nt
Filed under: Mytilus galloprovincialis (Mediterranean mussel)
Lineage: Eukaryota; Metazoa; Mollusca; Bivalvia; Mytilida; Mytilidae
Source: RNAcentral
UUCAUACUGCUUAUGAACAAUCUGUUAUGUUCUGAAGUAAUUUGUUGUUGUGUGUUUUAUAUUUCUUAUGUACAAUUUGUUCUGUUCUGAAGUAACUUGUAGUUGCAUGUUUUAUACUGCUUAUGUACAAUCUGUUAUGUUCUGAAGUAACUUGUAGUUGUGUGUUUUUUAACUGCUUAUGUACAAUCUGUUAUGUUCUAAAGUAAUUUGUUGUUGUGUGUUUUAUAUUUCUUAUGUACAAUUUGUUCUGUUCUGAAGUAACUUGUUGUUGUGUGUUUUUUUACUGCUUAUGUACAAUUUGUAUGUUCUGAAGUAACUUGUGGUUGUGUGUUUUAUACUGCUUAUGAACAAUCUGUUAUGGUAUGAAGUAACUUGCAAUUGUGUGUUUUAUACUGCUGAUGUACAAUUUGUUAUGGUAUGAAGUAACUUGUAGUUGUGUGUUUUAUACUGCUUAUGUACAAUUUGUUAUGUUCUGAUGUAACUUGUAGUUAUGUGUUUUAUACUGCUGGUGUACAAUCUGUUAUGUUCUGAAGUAAUUUGUAGUUGAGUGUUUUAUACUGCUGGUGUACACUCUGUUAUUUUCUGAAGUAAUUUGUAGUUGUGUGUUUUAUAUACUGCUGGUGUACAAUCUGUUAUGUUCUGAAGUAAUUUGUAGUUUAUUGAGUGUUUUAUACUGCCUUGGUGUACAACUCUGUUAUUUUCUGAAGUAAUUUGUAGUUGAGUGUUUUAUACUGCUGGUGUACACUCUGUUAUUUUCUGAAGUAAUUUGUAGUUUUGUGCUUUAUACUGCUUAUGUACAAUUUGUUAUGUUCUGAAGUAAUUUGUUGUUGUGCUUCAUACUGCUUAUGUACAAUUUGUUAUGUUCUGAUGUAACUUGUAGUUAUGUGUUUUAUACUGCUGGUGUACAAUCUGUUAUGUUCUGAUGUAACUUAUAGUUAUGUGUUUUAUACUGCUGGUGUACAAUCUGUUAUGUUCUGAAGUAACUUGUAGUUUUGUGCUUUAUACUGCAGGUGUACAAUCUGUUAUGUUCUGAAGUAAUUAGUUGUUGUGUGCUUUAUAUUUCUUAAUAUGUACAAUUUGUUCUGUUCUGAAGUAACUUGAAGUUGUGUGUUUUAUACUGCUGGUGUACAAUCUGUUAUGUUCUGAAGUAACUUGUAGUUGUGUUUUAUACUGCAGGUGUGCAACCUGUUAUGUUCUGAAGUAAUUUGUUGUUGUGUGUUUUAUAUUUCUUAUGUACAAUUUGUUCUGUUCUGAAGUAACUUGUAGUUGUGUGUUUUAUAUUUCUUAUGUACAAUUUGUUAUGUUCUGAAGUAACUUGCAGUUGUAUGUUUUUACUGCUGGUGUACAAUUUGUUAUGUUCUGAAGUAAUUUGUUGUUGUGUGUUUUAUAUUUCUUAUGUUCAAUGUGUUCUGUUCUGAAGUAACUUGUUGUUGUGUGUUUUUUUACUGCUGGUGUACAAUCUGUUAUGUUCUUAAGUAAUUUGUUGUUGUGUGUUUUAUAUUUCUUAUGUUCAAUGUGUUCUGUUCUGAAGUAACUUGUAGUUGUGUGUUUUAUACUGCUGGUGUACAAUCUGUUAUGUUCUGAAGUAAUUUGUUGUUGUGUGCUUUAUAUUUCUUAAUAUGUACAAUUUUUCUGUUCUGAAGUAACUUGUAGUUGUGUGUUUUAUACUGCUAGUGUAAAAUCUUUUAUGUUCUGAAGUAACUUGCAGUUGUGUUUUAUACUGCAGGUGUGCAACCUGUUAUGUUCUAAAGUAAUUAGUUGUGUGUUUUUUUACUGCUUAUGUACAAUUUGUACGUUCUGAAGUAACUUGUAGUUGUGUGUUUUAUACUGCUUAUGUACAAUCUGUUAUGGUCUGAAGUAACUUGUAGUUGUGUGUUUUAUACUGCUGAUGUACAAUUUGUUAUGUUCUGAAGUAAUUUGUUGUUGUGUGCUUUAUAUUUCUUAUGUUCAAUCUGUUAUGUUCUGAAGUAAUUUGUUGUUGUGUGUUUUAUAUUUCUUAUGUACAAUUUGUUCUGUUCUGAAGUAACUUGUAGUUGUGUGUUUUAUACUGCUGGUGUACAAUCUGUUAUGUUCUGAAGUAAUUUGUAGUUGUGUGUUUUUAUGUUUGCUUAUGUACAAUUUGUUCUGUUCUGAAGUAACUUGUAGUUGUGUGUUUUAUACUGCUUAUGUACAAUUUGUUAUGUUCUGAAGUAACUUGUAGUUGUGUUUUAUACUGCUUGUGUACAAUUUGUUCUGUUCUGAAGUAACUUGUAGUUGUGUGUUUUAUACUGCUUGUGUACAAUUUGUUCUGUUCUGAAGUAACUUGUAGUUGUGUGUUUUUACUGCUGGUGUACAAUGUUAUGUUCUGAAGUAAUUUAGUGUUUGUUUUAUACUGCUUAUGUACAAUCUGUUAUGUUCUGAAGCAACUUGUUUUUUUAUUUUUUAUACUUCUGUUAUUAUAGUUCUAAAGUAAAUUGUUGUCGUGUGUUUAUGUACAAUAUUCAACAUUUUGAAGUUACUUAUAGUUUUCACUGUUUCACUGUGCUUUAAUUUUAAGUAACAUGUAGUUUUGUGUCUUUUUUUUGUUCAUGUACCAUAAAAGGCUGUAUCUUCAAAUGAUUUUUCUAUGAAUUAUUAAAAUAAGGUAGUUUUGAAUGUGACUAUUUUACUUACAUCUCGAUAAUCAAUGUCUGCACCAUUCUGUAGACAUAAUUUUAAGGCUUCUAUAUCUCCAUCCUCUAGCAGCUGUAGUAAGUUUCUGUAAGUAUAACAUAGAAAUUACAUUUAAUCUUGAUAAUCAAUGUCUGCACCAUUCUGUAGACAUAAUUUUAAAGCUUCUAUAUCUCUAUUCCCAGCAGCUGUAGUAAGUUUCUGUAAGUAAACCAUAAUAAAAAUAUAUUGAAAUGAAUGUCCUUACUG